AAGUCGAACGAGAAUCUACUGAAAGAGUUUUCGGACGAUGGAAGUAGAGGAAAGUGGCGGACGGGUGAGUAACGCGUGAGGAACCUGCCUUGAAGAGGGGGACAACAGUUGGAAACGACUGCUAAUACCGCAUGAAGCAUAGGGGUCGCAUGAUUCUUAUGCCAAAGAUUUAUCGCUUCAAGAUGGCCUCGCGUCUGAUUAGCUAGUUGGCGGGGUAACGGCCCACCAAGGCGACGAUCAGUAGCCGGACUGAGAGGUUGAACGGCCACAUUGGGACUGAGAUACGGCCCAGACUCCUACGGGAGGCAGCAGUGGGGAAUAUUGGGCAAUGGGCGCAAGCCUGACCCAGCAACGCCGCGUGAAGGAAGAAGGCUUUCGGGUUGUAAACUUCUUUUAAGAGGGAAGAGCAGAAGACGGUACCUCUAGAAUAAGCCACGGCUAACUACGUGCCAGCAGCCGCGGUAAUACGUAGGUGGCAAGCGUUGUCCGGAUUUACUGGGUGUAAAGGGCGUGCAGCCGGGUCUGCAAGUCAGAUGUGAAAUCCAUGGGCUCAACCCAUGAACUGCAUUUGAAACUGUAGAUCUUGAGUGUCGGAGGGGCAAUCGGAAUUCCUAGUGUAGCGGUGAAAUGCGUAGAUAUUAGGAGGAACAUCAGUGGCGAAGGCGGCUUACUGGGCUUUAACUGACGCUGAGGCUCGAAAGCGUGGGGAGCAAAC
Molecule: ribosomal RNA, 715 nt
Filed under: uncultured bacterium
Lineage: Bacteria
Description: bacterial SSU rRNA
Rfam family: Bacterial small subunit ribosomal RNA
Source: RNAcentral